GUGGGUUCGGCGGAGGGAUGGUGGCAUGCGGGUCUGGAGGAAGGUGGCAUUUGAAUCUGGAACGUGUGUUUCGAAGGAGAAAUGGGGCAUUUGAUUGUGAAUUGGGACAUGUAGGGCUGGGGUAUUUGCUUGUCAGUGGGGGCAUGAAGAAUCAUUACCAGCGGAGCAGCCGGAGGGGAGAGCCGCAGGCCCGACCUCGGUUGCGUCCCAGACGUGCACACCCACCCGCCGGGGCACCCCUCGCGCUACAGUCUGGCCAGCAGAGCGGUCCGAGGCAUGUGGGCAACCAGGCGCCGGGGAGCAGGUUUCACCGGAAGAGGGUCCGCAACCCAGCAGAUGGACGGGGACGCCUGGCAGGGUCGGGUGACCCGGCUGGAGAUAUCCCCAACAACGCACCAGAGAGGGAGCCCCCGCAUGGACCAUCCUCGCCCGCUGCACGCUCCUCUCUCUAAUCCGCCAGCGGGCAGGCAUUGGUGGCGUACCCCAGUUGGCAGGGAAGUCCAGAGUGGGGGCAGCCGGAAGCCGAGGGAAACCUGGCUGUUCUCGAGGGACGCCUCCUCAGGCAGAUGGGCCCAGCAUGGCAGGCCAAGCCAUGGCGCAGCAGGCUUACUCGGGUGGGUGUUGAGGUUGCAGCCGCCCACAUCUGUGGGCAAGCGAGGGCCAGUCCUGCUGGCGCAUAUGGAAUCCUUCCCUCUUGCCCAGGUACCUGCAGCUUGGCCCUGUGUGGCCGGGCUGGGGUUUGAAGAUUUGAAGACUCUAGCGGUCCCACCCAACCCCCUGUCCGUGCUGUCUCUGGCCCGCCCCCUCUGCUGCCGCCCCCCACGAAAGGGGAGCGGAGCGGGUCGGGCAGGUGGCGAAGCGGCCUGCCUCCAUCCCCGUGCGAAGUGCUGUCCUGCUGCAGGCGGCGGCAAGGCUUGCCGGGCUGAGCGUUUUUUUUGUUCUAAACCACAAUGGUCUCGGUCGACUUCCAAGUGGGCAAGCUAGACAGGACGCUGGGUUGUCUCUCCACCAGCGCCGCUGCCUUUCUCUGGCCUCUUCUGCACCUGCAGGGACAGGCCAACACCUGGCCAUGGAAGUCGGAAUCCGCUAAGGAGUGUGUAACAAUUCACCUGCAAAAUCAACUAGCCCUGAAAAUUGAUGUCACUGGAGCGUCUGGCCCAUACCCGGCCAGCGCUGAGAGCCGCAGGGCUAAGCCGCAAUGAGUAAGAGGGCCGGUGCAGGUGCGCACAGAAGCCCAGGUGGACCUACCGCAGGGGCAGAUCUGGUUGUAGCGAUAUUCAAACAAGAACUUUGAAGGCUGAAGUGGAGAAGGGUUCCAUGUGAACAGCAGUUGAGCAUGGGUCAGUUGGUCCUAAGAAAUGGUCGAGCGCCGUUCGGAAGGGAGCGCCAUUCGGAAGGGAGUCGAGUUCAGAUCCCCGAACUCAGUGGCGGAGACGUGCGGCGUCCAUUGCGGUAAUGCAAAUGAUCCCAGAGAAGCUGGCGGGAUCCCCAGGGAGAGUUCUGUUUUCUUUGUGAAGGGCAGGGCACCCUGGAAUGGGUUCGGCCCGAGAGGGGCCCGAGCCUUGGAAAGUGUUGCAGUUCUGGCGGCGUCCGGGGAGCUCUCGCAAGUCCUUCAAAAUCCGGGGGAGAUGGUGUAAAUCUCGCGCCAGGCCAUACCCAUAUCCGCAGCAGUUCCCCAAGGCGAACAGCCUCUGGCAUGUUGGAAAAUGUAGGUAAGGGAAGUUGGCAAGUCACAUUUGUAACUUCGGGAAGGGCUGGGUUGGACGGCCUGGGGUGUGAAGCGGGGCAGGCAUCUUCCCAACCCCCCCCCGGGGGCAGCGCUGACUCUCGAUGUGAGCCAGACCCUUUUGUGGAUCGCCCCAGCUGCAGUGGUCGCCUCUCUCCAUUCCCCUCCUGGGGUUUGGGCCGGCGUUCUGCCUCGCCCGACGCCUAGCAGCUGACUUGGAACUGGUGCAGAUCAGGGGAAUCUGACUGUUAAAUUAAAACGAAGCACCGCGUAAGGCCCACGGUGGGUGUUGACGCAAUGGGAUUUCUGACCAGUGCUCAAUGUCAAAUUGAAGGAAUUCAAUGAAGCGCGGGUAAACGGCAGAGUAACUAUGACUCUCUUAAGGUAGCCAAAUGCCUCGUCAUCUAAUUAGUGACGCGCAUGAAUGGAUGAACGAGAUUCCCACUGUCCCUACCUACUAUCUAGCAAAACCAUAGCCAUGGGAACAGGCCUUCCAGAAUCAGCGGGGACAGAAUACCCCGUUGAGAGUCACCUCUAGUCUGGCACUGUGAAGAGACAUGAGAGGUGUAGGAUAAGUGGGAGGCCCUCAAGCUGCCAGUGAAAUACCACUACUUUUAUCAUUUUUUUCACUUACCCAGUGAGGCGUGGGCGAGCCCCGUUGGACUCUCGCUUCUGGCUCCAAGUGCUGGGCGCGACCCACUCCAGGGACAGUGGCAGGUGGGGAGUUUGACUGGGGCGGUACACCUGGAAAACCAUAACGCAGGUGUCCUAAGACGAGCUCAGGGAGGACAGAAACCUCCCACUGAGCAGAAGGGCAAAAGCUUGCUUGAUCUCGAUUUUCAGUAUGAAUACAGACCGUGAAAUGGGGCCUCAGGAUCCUUCUGACUUUUUGGGUUUCAAGCAGGAGGUGUCAGAAAAGUUAUCACAGGUAUAACUGGCUUGUGGUGGUCAAGCGUUCAUAGCGACGUCGCUUUUUGAUCCUUCGAUGUUGGCUCUUCCUAUCAUUGUGAAGCAGAAUUCACCAAGCGUUGGAUUGUUCACCCACUAAUAGGGAACAUGAGCUGGGUUUAGACCGUCGUGAGACAGGUUAGUUUUACCCCACUGAUGAUGUGUUUUUGCAAUAGUAAUCCUGCUCAGUAUGAGAGGAACCACAGGUUCAGACAAUUGGUGUAUGUGCUUGGCUGAGGAGACAAUGGGGCAAAGCUACCAUCUGUGGGAUUAUGACUGAACGCCUCUAAGUCAGAAUCCCCCCUAACCGUAACGGUACUGCAGUGCAGCCUCGGUUGGCCUAAGAUAGCAGGUCUCUGGGCCGGGGCGUAGAGCCGCUUGUCACAGGACUCAAGUGUCAACGGAAGAGGGCCACCCUCUUUCGCCUUUAGUGCACAGC
RNAcentral lists this ribosomal RNA (3113 nucleotides) under Ambystoma mexicanum (axolotl). RNAcentral describes it as "eukaryotic LSU rRNA". The stretch from base 926 to 3113 matches the Rfam family "Eukaryotic large subunit ribosomal RNA". Lineage: Eukaryota; Metazoa; Chordata; Amphibia; Caudata; Ambystomatidae. The record is from RNAcentral.